CUUCAAACUGAACAGAACUACACUCUCUUCUACCAUUGUCUUAAAUAUCUAUAAUGGUCACGUUGCAAAAGCUAAAUUGUCGCUAGGGAACAUUAAAGCACUUGUGUGCGGAUCUUGGAGUAAACUGACGAUAGCAAAGAUUAUAGCAAACACCACAGAAAGGGAAUUGGUGCUCGCUAGCUCUGUAAAUUCAGCUAUUGUUGGAAGACCGCCAAUAUAAAACAAACUAUAUUAAAAUUACAAAUGGCACACAGACAGCAGAGCUGGGGACAGAUGGGCAGGAACAGGGAGUCUCAGGAGACAGACUGUGAGUCAGUGAGGGUGGUGAAAGGGAACGAGCCAGGGAAGAGAGAUUUCAGAGGACAGUGUCACAGCCAUGGCAGGCCCAGGUGUCAACCUUGUUGCAGGUAGCACCAGUAUAGGGGACAGUGGCACAGCAUUGUUCAGUUACCUCAGUGAUGGUACAAAAACAUAUCAGCCACACCUACAAUUUAUAGAACUGCAAACUCUUGCCAACAGAGUGAUGUUUCAAGAGAGAUGGUUUUGCGAUUUCCUCUGGCUACAUUAUAAUCCAUCAAUAAAAGGAGUGUUGUGUUCACUGUAGCCAAGGGUUUUCAAGCCAGCCAUCUUUUGGCCAAAGAGCAGAGUUUCAGUGAAGACUUGGGUACGGGCUAGCAUGGGCCAAGAGAGACUGAACGGCGUAGUUGUCUGUAAUGUACAUAAAGACAGGCUGGACAGUCUUCAGGGAAAAUAUCUGCCAUCAAUUUAUUGGAUCCAUUGAAACCCGCAAACAUAUAUUUGUUUAUAUUGUUCAGAAGAGUGUAUAGCAGUGGUUCUCAACUUUUUUGGGUACUGGAACCCCUGCAUAUUUUGAGGCAAGGCGGGCAAGGUUUUGAGUGGUCCUCAUAUGUUAUAUGUAAAGUUACUGGAAUCCUUGUGGUGCUGAAUACGUUAAUUACACUUUUUUAUUUCACAGACCCCUUGCAAUUACACCAGGGACCUGUUUGAGAACAAAUUAUAUUUGUUCUUUUGUUUAGUAGUUUUCUGUUUUUUGUACAUGACAGUACACUUAAAAUAAAUAAUUAGUAUGUUAUUUUAUUUAAAAUAGCAUACUUUGUGACAUACUUGUCCAUAGCUGCUGUUUGAAGAGUUGAGACACUGAACAAAAAAUAAGUAUUUUUGAAGGAUAUUUUUGGUUGAUUUAUUUGGGUUAUUCAUUGAAAUAGUUAUUUCACUUUUAGAACUGUACUUAUAUUCUGAGCUUGUUGUUCUUGUAAAGAUAUUGUAGUCGACUCAGGCCAGUGG
Molecule: long non-coding RNA, 1305 nt
Organism: Oncorhynchus tshawytscha (Chinook salmon)
Lineage: Eukaryota; Metazoa; Chordata; Actinopteri; Salmoniformes; Salmonidae
Source: Ensembl